AUUAGAGUUGAGGCCAGUUAUUGAGAUGUAAGUACGAUAAACUGCUUUAGGGAUCAGUGCAAAAUGAUAUAUAUUUAUAUUUAAAAUUAAAUAUACAUGUUAUAGUGGGAGAGAAGAAAGAAUUGUGUGCUAAAUGUUGAAUUCUUGUUUUAAGGACGGACUAUGACAAAGUGGGUGACCACUGUAGCGGAUAAGAUGCUCCGAAUCAAAUUAAGAAAAAUAGAACCUAUCUGAAGAAUUGUGUGGAAAACUGUGACAAAUGAAUUUCAAAUUGGGAAAAUCUCCCUGUCCAAGUGAGGGACCAAUCAAGUGUACCCACCCACCCAUCCAAGGGGCAAGAUCAAUGAAAAAUGAUAGUUUAUCUCAAUGAAUAGAAAUAGUAACUGGAUAC
Molecule: long non-coding RNA, 391 nt
Organism: Amblyraja radiata (thorny skate)
Lineage: Eukaryota; Metazoa; Chordata; Chondrichthyes; Rajiformes; Rajidae
Exons: 3
Source: RefSeq, a predicted model, not a curated record